Molecule: non-coding RNA, 18 nt
Filed under: Arabidopsis thaliana (thale cress)
Lineage: Eukaryota; Viridiplantae; Streptophyta; Magnoliopsida; Brassicales; Brassicaceae
Source: RNAcentral
CUUGGAACCAAAUGGCUG